This 476-nucleotide ribosomal RNA is filed under the name Streptococcus cristatus. RNAcentral's name for it is "bacterial SSU rRNA". It matches the Rfam family "Bacterial small subunit ribosomal RNA", at positions 28 to 493 of the family's 1533-position model. Lineage: Bacteria; Bacillati; Bacillota; Bacilli; Lactobacillales; Streptococcaceae. The record is from RNAcentral.
GACGAACGCUGCGGCGUGCCUAAUACAUGCAAGUAGAACGCUGAAGGAGGAGCUUGCUUUCUGAUGAGUUGCGAACGGGUGAGUAACGCGUAGGUAACCUGCCUGGUAGCGGGGGAUAACUAUUGGAAACGAUAGCUAAUACCGCAUAACAUUGACUAUUGCAUGAUAGUCAAUUAAAAGGUGCAAUUGCACCACUACCAGAUGGACCUGCGUUGUAUUAGCUAGUUGGUGGGGUAACGGCUCACCAAGGCGACGAUACAUAGCCGACCUGAGAGGGUGAUCGGCCACACUGGGACUGAGACACGGCCCAGACUCCUACGGGAGGCAGCAGUAGGGAAUCUUCGGCAAUGGACGGAAGUCUGACCGAGCAACGCCGCGUGAGUGAAGAAGGUUUUCGGAUCGUAAAGCUCUGUUGUAAGAGAAGAACGAGUGUGAGAGUGGAAAGUUCACACUGUGACGUAUCUACCAGAAAGGAC